This is a small nuclear RNA of Bison bison bison, 104 nucleotides long. Lineage: Eukaryota; Metazoa; Chordata; Mammalia; Artiodactyla; Bovidae. The record is from Ensembl.
CUUGGAGUUUCAGUCCAAGCUCUUUGGUGCUUGGAACCAUACAGAGAUUAGCACGGCCCCUGUGCAAGAAUGGCAUACAAAUUCAUGAAGCAUUCCAUUUUUUA